Molecule: long non-coding RNA, 1442 nt
Organism: Zalophus californianus (California sea lion)
Lineage: Eukaryota; Metazoa; Chordata; Mammalia; Carnivora; Otariidae
Exons: 3
Source: RefSeq, a predicted model, not a curated record
CAGGGCCGGGGAGCAGCGGGCGGCGCAGACUCCGGCGCACACCUUGCCUCGCGUGCUCCGACUAGCCGCGGUAAACAGCAGCUAAUCCCCACUCGGUGAGACAGUGGGUACAACAGUGGCCCAGCUCAGUGUGGAACCAUAGAACAGAAGAAAGUUGCCAGCUAGCCAGAGACUGUAUAACCUGAUCUUGUCAGCAGAAGUUUCCAAACCAGCUCUCUCUACGGCGUAAUGCAUCUACCCCCGGGGGUGCACAGGAUCACCAUGCCCUCUGGUCCAAGUGUUUCCUCCUGAAUUCUGAAGCAAUUAUUUUAAUUUGACGGGUCAGUAUGAAGCAUAUACUUUAUGUAGGAGGGGAUGACAAUAUCAGCGCAAAUAAUAAGCAUAAUUGGCUCUUCGUUGUAUACGUUUAUGGAGUCUUUUCUUUUUUAAAGAACGCAAAGAAAUUAGUCAUGCUAUAUUUAAAAUUUCAAGAACAUUUUUAAAGAUUUUUUUUUCUUAAGGGAGAAGAAUUUAGGAAACUGUCGUCAGUACUGUAUUUCUACAUGAAAAUGUUUUUAGCUUUCUCCUUAAGAAGAAAAUUUCAUUCCUCUUUCAGAAUAUGUAUAUGAGUGAACCUGACCAUUAAAUCUGAUCUUUUGACAAAAGAGAUCGUAUAUACUUGAGUCUGUAACUGGCAGAAAUAUGAAAACUUUUGUCUUAAGUAAGGGAAAUGUACUGAUAAACUACUUUACUAUUAAAGUAGACAUCCAUGAUCUAUUGUGUGAGUUUCUGUGUUGUCUGCUUGCUUUAAUUUGUUCUUCUCCAUAUCACUGCCUACUUAUUUUUUCCCAGUCUUUCCUUGAAAGUCUCUUUGAUGAAUGUUGCAAGGACAUUCUUUAGAUGAACACUAAGAACAAAAGCCUGAGCAAAGGAGUGAAGAGGUGUUGGAAGCAGACAGACAUUGAAAUCUCAGCUCCUGCAUUUGGCUGGGUGAUCAUGGACAACUACUAACCUUUCGGAGCCACAACUUACAUUUCUGUAGAACUGGAAAAAUUGCAUACAGCUCACAAGGAUGUUAAAUCCCUUCCAUUAGUAUCCUUCUCCCCAGGCCUGUAUUUACAAUCUCCUAACCGGUACUUAGUAGUUGAGGGAGCUCCAAAUUAACAAAGGCAAACUCAUAUUAAUAAUCUAAACCCUUAAGUGUUUUUAGAGCAUAAACUCAGUCCUUGUUCAGUGUCACAACCACCAUUAAAUGAUCUGUGUUUAUCCUGGUACUUUUGGGAGCCAAGUUUUAGAAAGUUGAACAAACUGACUAUAAUUAACCUGAGCAAACUCGGAAAUGCCUAGUCAUAGAGCUGGUCUGUAAGCAUCCUUGUAGCCGCUGUACAUUUUCCAUUUAGCAUCUGUAUCUUAUACAGCCACUCAGCGAUGGAAGUUAGCAUGUUCUCAAGGCUCUGCCUGGA